GAGACUCUGGGUCACCUCCCACCCGUGUUUAUUUUACCUUGUUGCUUCGGCGGGCCCGCCUUAACUGGCCGCCGGGGGGCUUACGCCCCCGGGCCCGCGCCCGCCGAAGACACCCUCGAACUCUGUCUGAAGAUUGUAGUCUGAGUGAAAAUAUAAAUUAUUUAAAACUUUCAACAACGGAUCUCUUGGUUCCGGCAUCGAUGAAGAACGCAGCGAAAUGCGAUACGUAAUGUGAAUUGCAAAUUCAGUGAAUCAUCGAGUCUUUGAACGCACAUUGCGCCCCCUGGUAUUCCGGGGGGCAUGCCUGUCCGAGCGUCAUUGCUGCCCUCAAGCACGGCUUGUGUGUUGGGCCCCGUCCUCCGAUCCCGGGGGACGGGCCCGAAAGGCAGCGGCGGCACCGCGUCCGGUCCUCGAGCGUAUGGGGCUUUGUCACCCGCUCUGUAGGCCCGGCCGGCGCUUGCCGAUCAACCCAAAUUUUUAUCCAGGUUGACCUCGGAUCAGGUAGGGAUACCCGCUGAACUUAAGCAUAUCAAAGGAGGGGAGGA
This 545-nucleotide ribosomal RNA is filed under the name Penicillium chrysogenum. RNAcentral's name for it is "eukaryotic LSU rRNA". The stretch from base 166 to 318 matches the Rfam family "5.8S ribosomal RNA". The record is from RNAcentral. Lineage: Eukaryota; Fungi; Ascomycota; Eurotiomycetes; Eurotiales; Aspergillaceae.